Molecule: small nucleolar RNA, 139 nt
Organism: Pyrus x bretschneideri (Chinese white pear)
Lineage: Eukaryota; Viridiplantae; Streptophyta; Magnoliopsida; Rosales; Rosaceae
Product: small nucleolar RNA snoR143
Exons: 1
Source: RefSeq, a predicted model, not a curated record
GACCAAUAGUGCUUACAGUGAAUGCCUGAUUCCCACCGUUUUGGUGAGAGUUGGGCAGCGGCCAGACAACCGUAGUGAUGGUAUCCACAGAUGGCGGGUUCAUUCUGUCCUGUUUUUCUACUGAUUCCAUCUCACAUUU